RNAcentral lists this ribosomal RNA (1254 nucleotides) under Candidatus Regiella insecticola. RNAcentral's name for it is "bacterial SSU rRNA". It matches the Rfam family "Bacterial small subunit ribosomal RNA", at positions 90 to 1340 of the family's 1533-position model. Lineage: Bacteria; Pseudomonadati; Pseudomonadota; Gammaproteobacteria; Enterobacterales; Enterobacteriaceae. The record is from RNAcentral.
GGCGAGCGGCGRACGGGUGAGUAAAGUCUGGGGAUCUGGCUUAUGGAGGGGGAUAACCAUUGGAAACGGUGGCUAAUACCGCAUGAUGUCGCAAGACCAAAGUGGGGGACUUUAGGGCCUCACGCCAUAAGAUGUUGGGUAAUGAGAUUAGCUAGUAGGUGGGGUAAUGGCGUACCUAGGCGACGAUCUCUAGCUGGUCAGAGAGGAUGACCAGCCACACUGGAACUGAGAAACGGUCCAGACUCCUACGGGAGGCAGCAGUGGGGAAUAUUGCACAAUGGGCGGAAGCCUGAUGCAGCCAUGCCCCGUGUGUGAGGGAGGCCUUAGGGUUGUAAAGCACUUUCAGCGGGGAGGAAGGCGGUAAGAGUAAUAUGCUUAUCGAUUGACGUUACCCGCAAAAGAAGCACCGGCUAACUCCGUGCCAGCAGCCGCGGUAUUACGGAGGGUGCGAGCGUUAAUCGGAAUAACUGGGCGUAAAGGGCAUGUAGGCGGUAAGUUAAGUCAGAUGUGAAAUCCCCGAGCUUAACUUGGGAACGGCAUUUGAGACUGGCAGGCUAGAGUUUUGUAGAGGGGGGUAGAAUUCCAGGUGUAGCGCACUAUUCGGUAGAGAUCGGGAGGAAUACCGGUGGCGAAGGCGGCCCCCUGGACAAGGACUGACGCUGAGGUGCGAAAGCGUGGGUAGCAAACAGGAUUAGAUACCCUGGUAGUCCACGCUGUAAACGAUGUCGAUUUGGAGGUUUUUGCCUAAAAGGUAAGCGUCCGAAGCUAACGCGAUAAAUCGACCGCCUGGGGAGUACGGCCGCAAGGUUAAAACUCAAAUGAAUUGACGGGGGCCCGCACAAGCGGUGGAGCAUGUGGUUUAAUUCGUUGCAACGCGAAGAACCUUACCUACUCUUGACAUCCACGGAAUUGAGCAGAGAUGCUUAAGUGCCUUCACAACCGGUGAGACAGGUGCUGCAUGGCUGUCGUCAGCUCGGGUUGUGAAAUGUUGGGUUAAGUCCCGCAACGAGCGCAACCCUUGUCCUUUGUUGCCAGCACAGUAUGGUGCCAACUCAAAGGAGACUGCCGGUGAUAAACCGGAGGAAGGUGGGGAUGGGGUAAGGUCAUCAUGGCCCUUACGAGUAGGGCUACACACGUGCUACAAUGGCGCAUACAAAGGGCGGCGAGCGUGCGAACGUAAGCGAACCUCAUAAAGUGCGUCGUAGUCGGGAUUGGAGUCUGCAACUUAAGGCCCUGAAGUCGGAAUCGCUAGUA